RNAcentral lists this ribosomal RNA (515 nucleotides) under Fusarium oxysporum. Its description in RNAcentral is "eukaryotic LSU rRNA". The stretch from base 164 to 317 matches the Rfam family "5.8S ribosomal RNA". The record is from RNAcentral. Lineage: Eukaryota; Fungi; Ascomycota; Sordariomycetes; Hypocreales; Nectriaceae.
GCGGAGGGAUCAUUACCGAGUUUACAACUCCCAAACCCCUGUGAACAUACCACUUGUUGCCUCGGCGGAUCAGCCCGCUCCCGGUAAAACGGGACGGCCCGCCAGAGGACCCCUAAACUCUGUUUCUAUAUGUAACUUCUGAGUAAAACCAUAAAUAAAUCAAAACUUUCAACAACGGAUCUCUUGGUUCUGGCAUCGAUGAAGAACGCAGCAAAAUGCGAUAAGUAAUGUGAAUUGCAGAAUUCAGUGAAUCAUCGAAUCUUUGAACGCACAUUGCGCCCGCCAGUAUUCUGGCGGGCAUGCCUGUUCGAGCGUCAUUUCAACCCUCAAGCACAGCUUGGUGUUGGGACUCGUGUUAAUUCGCGUUCCUCAAAUUGAUUGGCGGUCACGUCGAGCUUCCAUAGCGUAGUAGUAAAACCCUCGUUACUGGUAAUCGUCGCGGCCACGCCGUUAAACCCCAACUUCUGAAUGUUGACCUCGGAUCAGGUAGGAAUACCCGCUGAACUUAAGCAUAU